ACAGCUGGACUGGGAGAGGAGGAGGCACAAGUGCCCGCGCGGCACAGCUGGAUGGGUGUGGCCAGUGGCGCAAUGCAUUUGCUCCGCAGCUGGAUGGGGGGAGCGGUGCAUCUGCUACACAGCUGGAUGGGGGGCGUGGCGGCAGUGUCUUUGCUACACAGCUGGAUCGAGAGGAGGUGUGCCCUGGCAUCUGGCAAACAGCUGGAGGGGCUUCCUUUCCUCAUGCAGACGCAUCCUGAUCUGCCUCCUGGAUAUGCGGAGCCAUUUCCUCUGCUCAUUUUUCUUCAGCUCUUCCAGUAUUUACUUCAGCCAUUGGGACCAGACCAUGUGUGUUCGUGCCAUGUCUAUCUUUAGGCCAAAUUACCUCACACCUUUUACCCAGCAAUGGCCCACCUCUUCCACUGCUAUUUUUACCACCUUCUAAAUAAAGGUCCAGUCCAAAGCCCCUUAUAGUCAUGGAAAGAUUUUGCUCUUGUUUUGGAUCAGGUCCUAAAAUAUGAGGUUUAAAGGAAGUAGAAGUGGCCUGAAGGGUCCUGCUGCCUCCUGUCUGCCCUGGACUCUGCAGGUGGCAUGUCCCAAGAGCAGGUGGCACUGCCCUUCAUGGGGAGCAGGAGUGGACUAGGCUGGGUUGAUUCAGUGCCAUCUCUUGGCAGCCUCUGUUAGGCUUACUCCAUCCAAAAUCCCAAGGGAGGCCUGCAGCCUGCUUUGUUUUAAAUGAGCUCCCGUGGGGUACCGCAAGCCAGACAGCAGCAGGGAGGAUGGCUCUCUGCAUUGGCACAUGUCUAAUCUGGGGCAGCACGGGAACUAAUCUGGGAACUCAGACCCUUGGUGAUCCUUGGCAAGUAAACUUGGGUCUGUGUAUACCACAUACUCACCCGCUCCCACUUGCAUACCCCAGACCCAGAAGCUCUUCCAGGGUUGUCUCCUGCAGCUGCUCUCGGGACCUCAGUCUCCAGCAUGCUUGAGAGCAGCCACGGCAAACACACUUAGAGCAGCUUGCCUACAGCCUUGACAGGUUUUGGUGCAAAGGGAAGGGGCAUUCCUGACCUGCAAUGUGGACAGACAUGCAAUGCCUCAGCCUCCUCGGCAUUACUGUGAGGAUAUUGGCAGCCGUGUUGGUGUGAGACAAAAAGAAAUGCAAAACUCGACAACUCUUGGUUCAGAGAUGAUGCCUUCUAUUAGAGCAGCUAGGAAAUCAUCUUCCAUGUUGCAGGGAUGUAUUUGGUAGCCAUGAGGAUAAGCACAGUCUAGGGCAGUAGGUGCUUAGAUGAUGUAGCAAUGGGAAACCUCUGAGAGAAACAACUGAGUAGACACGCCAGCUUCUUGAAGGUGACUCUUGUCACCUUCCCCUGCCCCUUGCCCCUCUUUGUUCUAUUUGCUUCUGCCUGUGCUGUGCCCCUUUGGGGUGUGAGAUCCUCAGGGCAGAGCCUUUCCUUUGUUAUUGUUUGCAAUGGGUGAUGUGCACCUAAAACAUUAUGCCUUCCCCCUACCACAAACACUGUCCUUAUCUAUUUCCCCAGCUACGAUAUCGAGGCAGAUAGCAGACAGAAACGCACUAUGGAUGGGAUCCUAUUUCACCGUCACACCCCUCCCUUGCAUGUGUGAAGAGGUGUAACUGCAGUUUUCGGCCCAUAAGCACAGUUUGGGGUUCAAUGUAGCUACACUUGCCCCAUGCUUCUUUAUUGAGCAUGUUCAAUGGGCCGUCUUGUGAACCACAUAACUGCCCUGGGGGAGAUACAAUUGCCCAGUCGCAUCCAUAAGGGUAGGUAAGUCCUGGAUCUUUCGUUGAUGAAAGAAAUGGAGGGGGAGAGGACAACCCUUCCACCUUUUAAUCCAAUAGUUGGGAUCCUUGUCCAGGGAGCAGCAAAGGCCAGGUCUAGACCCCCUCGGUCAGAGGGAUUUGGACCUGCUCCAGCCACCAGACCGCAGGCUAGGUGUUACCCAGAGCACUCCCCAGCCAUCCUCUUGAAGUUGGCAAGGCUGGAUGACAUUUAUUGAUAGGACCAACCAGCGUGUGGACCCCACACCCUCUGAGCCCUCAUCGUGCUGGUUAUUUAGCCACUGAUGCCCAGAAACACGCUGGAUCUUUGCCUGACAACAUUUCAACUCAGCGCAGAGAAGUAGACCAUCGCUCCAAUUGAACAGUAUGGGUGACUCUCCCAAAAUAGGGGUGCAGGGACACAGCUUCCCACCAGCCCAGUGCUGGCAGCUACAGCCCGCUUGGGCUGCAGAAUGGGUCUAGGGUUGCCAGCCCUCCAGGAUGGCCCUGGAGUCUCCAGGAAUUUCAUAUAAAUCUCCAGGACACUGCUCAGAGUCAUACAGGAGAUAAAGAACAGGGCACUCAUUAAAAUAAAUAUUAAAUGUUGAGUUCGAUUUA
Long non-coding RNA from Alligator mississippiensis (American alligator), 2377 nucleotides. RefSeq lists it as uncharacterized. The record is from RefSeq and is a predicted model, not a curated record. The transcript is spliced from 2 exons. NCBI's taxonomy places the organism in Eukaryota, Metazoa, Chordata, Crocodylia, Alligatoridae.